RNAcentral lists this ribosomal RNA (253 nucleotides) under uncultured bacterium. RNAcentral describes it as "partial 16S ribosomal RNA". It matches the Rfam family "Bacterial small subunit ribosomal RNA", at positions 524 to 776 of the family's 1533-position model. The record is from RNAcentral.
UACGUAGGGGGCAAGCGUUGUCCGGAAUCAUUGGGCGUAAAGAGCGUGUAGGCGGCUUGGUAAGUCCGCUGUGAAAGUCCAGGGCUCAACCCUGGAAUGCCGGUGGAAACUGUCAAGCUUGAGUCCGGAAGAGGCGAGUGGAAUUCCUGGUGUAGCGGUGAAAUGCGCAGAUAUCAGGAGGAACACCGAUGGCGAAGGCAGGUCUCUGGGCCGAUACUGACGCUGAGGAGCGAAAGCGUGGGGAGCGAACAGG